GCCUGAUUGACUCAGAGGUUGAGUAUCUGCCUUUGGCUCAGAAAAUGGGAUCGAGUCCCACUCAGGCA
This 68-nucleotide transfer RNA is filed under the name Canis lupus familiaris (dog). It matches the Rfam family "tRNA". Rfam says of the family: Transfer RNA (tRNA) molecules are approximately 80 nucleotides in length. Their secondary structure includes four short double-helical elements and three loops (D, anti-codon, and T loops). The record is from Rfam by way of RNAcentral. Lineage: Eukaryota; Metazoa; Chordata; Mammalia; Carnivora; Canidae.